UUUGUUUAUAAAUGAUGUAAAAAGCAAGAAUGUAAUUUUGGAAAUUAUUGGAGAGAAAUCCAGAUUUUCAGGCAGCUAGAGAGCACUUGUACGCUUGGUUUGAAAGAGAUUCUGCUUAUGUGUGUAGAGUUCACACCUGGCUUUCAUAGUUGCUGGACAGCACAGAGAAGCCUUCCCACUUUGAUUUAGGGGCUUGUUCUGAAUGGGGAGAUCACAAAAGGGGUUUGGCAGAGUUUGGGUGCUGGCAGAGAGUGGGAAGGAGUGGGUUGCUCUUGUGUGUAGGUGGGAAAUAAAAUACUCAUGUCUGCCUGUCUAAGAAUGCUGACUGGAAACAGGAAGGUUUGGCUCCUCAGUUUUACACUCUCUGAUGAAGAACCCAGGUGAUGGUGCAAAGUUAAAUUUGUCCCAUUCCUGUGUACUGGACUUAAAUGGACUUUGAAGCAGGCAGUACCUUCCUGUGUUGAAACCCCAGCUGAUGGCUAAUGCCUGUCUGCCUUGUAGAAAUGCCAAGAGAUGAAAGCAAAGAUGUGGUGGCUGCUGUGAGGAACCACUUGGAAACCAGUUUCUGAGGUGCCUUCUGAACACAGCAUUAUUUUCCUCUCCAGGAACACAGAGAAAGAGUCCCUGUAAAUGUAUACUGGGAUUUGGGCAAACCUGUGUUGCAUUAAGUCUCCCUGAAUUAAUGUUAUUUUUCCCAGACAUUGCAUUUUAGAAAGAUUUUUUAAUUGGAAGGGGUGGCCAAAGCCUUUUAGUAAUUUUUAAGCAUCCUAUAGUGAUUUGCUAUUCUCUCCUAAAAAUAUGCUUUUAUUUCCUGCUGGAAUUGGUUUCACUUUGACAUUGGACCUUGUUAUGCCUUUGUCUGCUAACCUAAAGAUCCUGUUAAGUCAGAAAAAUCUCUUUCUUAAAGUAGGUAUUUAUAGACUAAUUUAUCAUUUAAGCCAAACUGAACGUUUUUAAAACUCUUGGUGGAAAGUUGAUUUUACAGACCUUGAAUCAUUUUUUCCUUAUCCUUUGUGAACCCUUGCUUGACCUCUGCACUCUGAGAAUGAUGACAGAAAUGUAGUGGACUGAUCUCCAGUCAUGGUGUCUCCAUGGUCUCAUGAACAGGCAGUUGUAUAUUAUCAUGGGAUAUUUCUAUUUUUAGAUUUUGCAGCUCUACAGCCAUGCCAGUUGUUGUUAACCUGAAUUACAGAGACAUGUAUAUUUAUUCUUUAGGGCUUAAUAAUUUAAUGCUUUGCCUCUCACGCUUCACUGAUACUUGAAAGUAAACGAUAACAUUUUUCUUUUCAUCCUUUCCUCUUGCCUGUUUAUCGGAAAAUUUCACAGAAAUUAACUUUUUAAGUAAGCAAUACAUGUUUAGAGAUAGAAAAAUAUCCCAAAAGGAUUUGAUUUCCACUCUUUGUUGUACCCAACCAUGUCCUAAAAGCCAAUGAAGGAGCAGUCUCAGAUACAGAGGAAGUCAGGAGACAACUAGUCAUUAUUCCUUGUUAUUUCAUUGUGUGUUCCUUAUUCUGGUAUUAUCAGGCUGAAGAGUUAAAACAUUUUUUUAGUCUUUCCUUUUUUCAAAGCACUCCAGCCCAACACACCCCAAGGAAAGGAUCUCAGAGCUCAGGGAGCUAUAAAGUUUUUCCUCUCUCUGGGCAAUAAGUAAAUGUGUUUUCUCAUUAUUUUUCUCUGUUGUUAGCACAUUAAUCUGAAACCAGAAAGAAAAGACCAACAAGUACUAAGGGUGAUAAGGGAUUUGCUGAUGUUUCAUGAAGGCAGCUAGAUUGCUGCAAUACAGCUGGGAAAUAGGAAUACUAAAGUCUACUCUAAACGCCAUUUUACGAUAAUGACUCAUAAAAUAUCAGUUCUUUGUUUUAAGAUUUUGUGGCUGUAUAGUAACUAUGCAUUUCAGGAGAAAGUAUCUCUAAGUUGAGUACUAAGACUAACUUAUCAAAUUGAGAGGAAAUGAGGGAAAGAGAUUAUUUUUUUUAAGCUCAAAUGUGAUUUUUCUGGCCCCAGAUUUUCAAGUAAAAAUUGAAGAUAAAUCUUAAGGAAAGAAAAAAAAAGCAGACUAUAAAUGUAAUAACUUGCUGGAGCAUUUUACGAACCCUCAGUACAAACAAUAUUUCUUGUGAUAGCUUUGAAGAUGGAAUUUGGACCAUAUUUCAUGUGCUGGUGCAUAUAACAGUGGCUGUAGUAUAUGACAAAUAUUUCUCUCUUUUUUUUUUUAGAAAACCUAGAACUCCUAUUGCACUUUAUCUUGUUCACUAUAGAUCUGCAAGUGUUUUGUUGAGGGGAAACAAAGAACAGCAAAAAAAUAAAGGGAUUAUAACCUUUCAUAUUAACUGAGAUCUUUGUUGUAUUCAUUGCACUCAAAAUGGACUCCAGAAAUGCUCUUCGUAAUGAGACCAUGUCAAAGAGCCUGGUCUUUAAUUUGUGGAAGUAGGGAUGCUCUGCAGUGCAGCUCCACAGAACUCAGCAGAGCUGCUUCAGACAGCCCCAGAGGAGGGUCUGCUUUAUCUGUUUGGUGUCAGAACAACUUAACACACGGUUGGUAUCAUCCUUCCCAGGUUCAGUUUACUGUGCAGUUAUUAAGGUAUAUAUAUCUGGAUGUCUGUAAUGAAGUUAUUUGCAGCCAAACCCAGACAAUCUGUGCUCCUUUUGGUCAAUAGGUCAGGUGAGUUGGAUCCUAAAAGUGUUCAUUCCAGGGAGCUGGAUGAAGCAGGGCUCUAACCUUUGCAAAAGGAGGCAGAAUACAGAUAUGUUUAGUCUUUUGUAGAUGGGUUAUAAGCUUGUUUUGCUCUUGAUCCUCAUCUGAAAGAAAUGGACCAUUACUAGUGUGAAUAUAUCCUGCCUUUGACCUGAGAUAUACCUGGGAUAUAUUACCUGGUGCAAUAUGUGGACUGGUGUAAUAUAUAUAAUCCCACCCCUGCAUGGACCCAUCAUGAACCUGUGGUGAACACGGUGGUGUUGGGUUAAUUUUGGACCCAAUCAUCUUAGAAGUCUUUCCAACCUUAAUGAUUCUGUAUUUUUUCAUUCUGUGAUUUACCUGUGCUGAUGGAGCAAGCUGGGUGGGUGGCUGAGCCCGCACUGGCCAGGCUGCCCCUGAGAUGUGCAAAUCCACAUUUAGGUACCGUGGGAUAUGAGAAAAGCUGCUGCAAAAGGGCAUUCUGGCUAUUUUGACCCUGCAGAGCACUUCUCUGUUUCACAGGCAGCGACUGGCACUGGAGUAAUUUGAAGCAAGUUUUGGCCUCUUGUGAUUACUGCAGCCCAGUGAAGGCUAAACAAGCCUGGAAUUUAUUGUAAAUGUGGGGGGAAUAUGAGGGAGGCCGAUGAGAUAUCUUAUCCCUUUUCCUUGUGAUUUGUGCUGUUUUAUUUUGCUGCACCUCCUAAUCCCCCUCACAGUGGCUGCCCAGUGAAGGUGUGCAAACACAACUCAGAGCUCUCCAGGAAUGGAAGGAGUACCAAGACUGGCCUUGCAUAGCAACAAGGACUACAGUGCUGUGUGCUUUGCAAUUUGUGGUGGUGCCCUUAAAUCUGACUUCACCCUCAGGAGGAGAUCCUGGACAGAGGUGACUGUGGCAGGCUUUAAAGGGAAUGGUCAGGGUGGCAAACACUCUGCCAGACUGAUUUUGCACAGUUCACCCCUGACGCCUUCUCUGUCUUUCCCAACACAGCUCAGGAAAGGUGUGAGGGAGAGGAAGCAGCUGCCUCGUGGGAAUCUGUGUGUCCCUGUCAGGAGUGUGACCUGGGACAGUGGUUCCACUGCUGAAGGAGCAAUGUGAGGAUGCUUUUGUAGGGACAGGUUUCAGCAAAUUGUUGCUGGUCCUGCCUGUGCUCUGAGCCACUUUGAAACCUGAAGUCAGAAGUGCAGUGGUGACACAAACACAACCUAUCUCCUCCUGUCAGCUUCCACCCAAUACAGAAAGUUUUUCCAAAAUCUGUCACUUGGAGAAAAAGAAAUUCUGUUAAAAAGUCCUUAUGUAUGUGUCCAGAGAUAGACUAACUUGUGCACGAAUAGAAUUUCUGCCUUAGGAACUGGGCAAUAAUCUAAAUUUGUCCAACAUACAGCAGCAAAAUAGGGAGGGGAAAAAAAGUACUUUUUUUCCUCAGCAAGGACUCCAAGAACUCCAAGAUACUGAUAACAUUUAACCUUCUCUCCUCUUCUGUAAAUAUCUGUCCCCUGAGGACCUUGACAAUGGCUAAAACCCAACUGUUCAGUCCAGCAGAGCUCUAGAGACAUCCUGCUGUUUUAAAAUUGUAACUGUGAAACAGGAUGGCAAUGGCUCAUUUUAAAAAUUCCCUAUGAUACCAUUUCUAAAUCAAGUUAGUAUGCAAGAAGUGUCUUGGAGCAGGAGAGAGGCUUUCCUGUUUUUCAUUCUCCUCUGGUAUUGUCUGCGUGGGAGGCAGCUGUUGGAAGGCCUGCAGGAACUUGAGAAUUUGACUGAAAGCCAUAAAAUUGUACAAAUGCAUUCAAAAGCUUUGUACAGUUUCUAUUGGAAUCUGGGUUGCAAGUUUAUGGUGAAACCUGAAAACUUCAUCUGCCCGUUAUCUUUUUUGAUGCAAAUGUUUUGCUGUGAAUAUUUUGGAACAUCUAAUUUGAAGUAUUAAAAUAUAUCUGCAAGGAAGAGGUGUAAAUACUUUCCUGGAAUCAACUUCCGUGCAAGAAAUUAAUUACAGAAAAGAAUUCUCUUCAACAUCUACGUCUGCAUAUGUCUGUUUUCAUCUAGGGCUGCUGUUCGUUGCUAUUCAGAGGUGCUUUCCAACCGUUUUAUCAUAUUGUGUUAAUUAAGAUGAUGUUUUCAUUAGUUUCAGUUCACAUAUUGUUGGAAUAUAGAUUUUUGAAGAGAGAUUUUAGCAGAUAAUGGAACGUGGGCAGCACAGUGGAGGCCACAGGGAGCUCAUUACCCUUUUCUCAAUUCGUUGUGGUUUCAUCAGUCAUUAAUUCCACUCUAAGUACCCUAUUGUUAGAAUGUACAUUGUGAGUGACUUUGCUUUUCAUAUUCAACAACGUGCCACUUUCCAUACAUAAUACAAAGGUAGACUGUAAUUAUUGGAAGGAUUAGAAUACUUCAAAAGAUUUAGAGACGUGGAAGAAGGCUCCCUGAGGAGGGUGCAUUUGAGAGUGUUUGAGACAACAACACAAAUAACCUUGUAAGGCUGGAGAAAAAGGCAGUGAAGAAAAGGGAUGAUGUUGAACUUGCUCUCAUUUCACAAAGGGAUAGAAUGAGUUAGGUUGGAAGAGGACUCUCUCUGGUCCAAGUCCCUCCUUGGGACUUGACUUCAGUGUCAGGUGAUAUUGCUCAGGGCCUUUUCCAAUUGGGUUGUAAAUAUUUUUGAGGACCCUGAUUUCAGGCUUGACUACCCUCAGGAUGUUAAGCUUUUACUUUUAUUUAAAGGGAUUUUUUCUUGUGGUAACUAUCGUCUCUUACCCCUUGUUGCGCUUCACCGCUCUGGACAAUUUGUGUGUCUUCUGUCUAUACCACCCCACUAAAUAGUUAAAGACAGUAAUAAGAUCCUCCCUUGGACCCUCUUUCUUUUCCAGGCAGAACCAAAACAGCUUUUUCAGCUUCUCAUGGUACUUUGUGUGCUCCAGGCUCUGGAACAUCUGCUGUACUCUCUUUUGUAUGUCUGUGUCCCUCUUGUAUACAGGAGCCCCAAAUGAUAUGCAGUAUUCCAUACGCUGUCUUGCAAGUCCAUGAUGAAAAAUCACUUCUUUCGACUAGUUGUCUAUGCUUUUGCCCAGUAUUUCGUUGUUUUUAUUUGCUGCAGUGGUACACUGCUCACUUGUCCUCAAUUUGCCCACCAGCAACCAUGGAUGCUUAUCCAUGGAGCUGCUCUCCAGCUGCUUGGCCUCCAGCCUGUGCCAGUGUGCAGAUGAUUCCUCCUCAUGUGCAGGGCAUUUCCUGAACUCUGGGAAAUUUCUGCCAGCUCAUUUCUCCAGUCUGUUAAGGCCCUGCUCCAGCUCCCUCUUGCCAUUCUUGAAGAUGCAUAUGAUGUUUGUCAUCACCCUUGCAUGCAUCCUUCCUGUUCUUGGAUACUUUGGUACAGGCUUGUGUAGUCUCUAAUUUGAUGUUCUUCUACCACAAGCAGGGCUUCACUGCCCUCGGCUUUGGCCUCAGUGCAGGGGUGUGGCGCACUGGUAUAUGUUUAUAUCCAUACCCACUCAAUUCACAUACAGGAGCAAAAGGACACACACAUAUAAAACCUUCUGCCCUGACAUCCCUGUCUCCUUGUACCAUUGCAAAUGGACCAUGUGCAUGCUAAGGCUCACCCCUGGGAGCUGGAAGCAAGCUCCCCAAAAUGGAUUGAGGUGAUACCAGACUUACGGCUGGGCUAUUGUUCAAUUAAUAGAUUUUGGUUGCUUACUAGAGGUCACAGCAUGGCCAGAUCCAGAAGUGAAGGCUCUCCCUGGAAAAGUGAAGUGAUGGCUGGUUAUAAGUCAGCUCUCACGCAGAUGCAUGCAGAGGCAGUUAGGACAGAGAGCUACCAACUAUCAGGAAAGCUGAGUAUAAUCCUGGCACAGUCCUAUAACUCACAGAGCAUAUUAGGUGCUGAAAUUCUUAUUCCUCAUUUUCUUGACAAAUGAUGCAACAAGAGCAGAAAAUGGCUAAUAUGAAUCUUGUCUCAAGACUGUGAUUACAGUGGUAAUAAGGAAUGAUGUAAACUUAACUUGCUCUUGUUACAGAGUGCUAAGGAGAGGGAAUUGGACUUCAGGAGCAGUGUGCAGCCAGAACAGAAGCUGGCUAUAAAAUAGCUGUUUAAUAACCCUUUUUCAUGAUUUUUGAAUUCUGUUUAGCAAGCAGGGUUCUUGUGUGAUACUCAGUGACAGAAAACAAAUGCUUCUUUGCUGUACCUUUUGACCAUCAAAGAAAAUUUUGUUUUAAGGAAGGACAUUUUGUAAGGAUUAUAGAAUCAUAGAAUGGUUUGGUUUGGAAGGUACAUUCAAAGGUCCUCUCUGCAAUAAUCAGGGACAUCUUGAACUACAUUAGAUUGCUCAGAACCCCAUGCAACCUGGCCUCAAAUGUUUCCAGGGAUUAUACACCACAUCUCUGGACAGCCUGUUCCAGUGUUUCACUGAAAAUUAUUGUAAGAAAUCAAAUUCAAAAAACUUCUUCCUUAUAUCUAGUCUGAAUCUACCCAUGUGGGACAUAAAAUACUUGUUCACAAAUACCAUCUUCUAGCCAGACUCUGUGUGGGUUUGCUUUACUUGAACAUGAAAUCUUGCAGAGAACACAAUACAUGAUACAGAAAUCACAGCAAAAGGAGGCUUCAGUUCCCAGAAAUCUCUCUUUACUGGUCUGGCUUUUGAUCCCUUUGUGUAUUUUCUAAGUAAACUAUCAUUAUUGGAUUAAUCCAAUAACUGGUAGAGCCCUUUAGUUUGCUUUCAGGAAGCAAUAAUGUGUCUCAGUGUCUUAGGAGGGGGCACAAUCCACUGUUUUGCAGCCCUCUGGGGCAACACUCUGCUGAGCUGUCAAUACAGGGAUUAUCAGGUGCCUCCACCUCUCACUUCCUCUGUCAAAAGGCUUCUCUCAAGAGCUUGAUUCCUUUAAAAGUCUUGUCUUCAUCUCUCCUUAGUGACCGUGAUUGAAAUUGCUUUUUCUGGAAUAUAAUAGCUCAGUUUAGGAGUGUCCAUUUCACCCAAUUCUUGCUAUUUUAAACUGUGAAAUCAAUUACCUUCAUUUAUUUGAAAAUAAAUAAUAUUUGUGUUCAGCAUCCCUGUUCUUUUGGUACUUUAGUGUUUCUUUAAUGCCUCCGUUUAUCUGUGGCCAAAUGAGAACUAUUUUAUUGGGAUUUUCUGAUUCUGGUAUUCAUUCUGACAUUUUUCUUUCCACCAGUGUAGAAGUUGGUUUGUUCAGCCCUGAAACGCAUCCCAGACAAAAGUGUUAGAAUUUUGAUAGUAGAAACAUGCACACAGACUGAUUCUCUUCUAUUUGCAAUGUUUCUUCUUCAGUGAUCUGUUUCUAGUUCAUCUGCAGACUUGCAGAUUCAAUGCAAAGCUCUUUAUCAUGUUUGCAUGCAGGUUUACUGCUUGUUUCAGAUCAUUAGCUGCUCUUGAAAGUGUUUGUGGUAUUACUAAUGGGACCCAAGCUGAACCUUAGUUGUGAUUAAGUACUUCCAUAUUUGCAAAAUCCUCUUUGGUGGUAUCUGUUACUUUCUCUUUUGGGUCUUACAGCCAGUGCUCAUUGAUUAGUUUCUGCUUUGAAACUGCAACUCCAGGGGAAGCUUGAAAAUGUUAUUCAUAGAUACUUGCUUGGGUCAAUAUAGCAAAUGCACCAUCUAUUUCACUUUGUGAACACAUCUCCAAGUAGCUCCCAAACCUGUGGGUUUGUAAGAGGCUAAUAAACAGCCUGCUCUGUGAUUCUGCAGCAGUUCUGCUCCCAGCCCUCCCUGCUGCUUCUGUAAGGAGAGUUUGAUUUCUUUCGACAGGUUGGUGUUUUCUGCUGAUGCUGAAAGGGUUUUCUUUCUUGGGCUCCUCUUGUGCCGUAGCAUCCAUGGCAGUUUGCUAAUCUAGCACAAGUUCUGUGAGCUUUGCAGGGGCCUUACAUUUCCCUUCUGACUUUUGAACCAUUUUAUAUAAGAGUCUUGGCACAUGCAGUAUUACUUGAAAAUGAGGUCAUGGGGCAAGGUUUUUUUGCACUUUAGAGUAAUAUGGCUCUUGCUUGAAACUAACAGCUGGUCUUUUAUGGCUUAAGAUCCUUUGCUUCAGUCAUUCCUAGUGUUUGCUGCAGCUCAUAUCCCCAGGCCAUCAGCAUGCCCUUUCACAUUUUCAGAUGAACUGUGUCUGGCUUGCUGUCCAGUGAAAUCUCUAUACACAUUCCUGUGCAAUAUUUAAAUUCUGCUUUACAGUCAUGAGGUGGAAAUAGAUGUAAGGGUUUCAGCUCUGCUCAUAGAUUUAGCAUCCUGCUCUACCAGCUUCCUCUGUCAUGGCACAGAAGGUACAAAAGUGUCAUUUUGGAUCCUUUGCUGCAUCCCAUGGUAUUGUCCUGAAGAAAGGAGAAUGCUCAACUUCUCAUGUCACUAAACUUGACACUUCUGCAUAAUUUUGACCAGCUGCAGAUCAAAACCAAAAAAUUGUGCAAGCCAAGAUAAUGGCCCAGAAUCCUUCCAAGGUGAAGAAAAUGGUUCCUACUGCAAUAGAAAAUGCAGGGGAAAUGUACAAGAAGGCCUCCUCCAUCUGAUGGUGUUGUGUAGGUACAGCCAGGCUAUCCACAUGUGACACUUCUCUAGCCUGCCUUCAAAAACUCCUAUAUGAGGAAGAUUCAGUAGGUUCUCUAGGAGGUUUGAAAAAGAAUUCUGUAAUUCUGAUGUAACAUUACCUUUUCUCUUGCUUUACUGGUAACCAAGGAGAAAUCAGAUCCAUUAAUUGGGUUCUUCUCUAAAUGUUAUAUCCUGCUUUUGUAUGGCAGAUGCCACAUGCUCCAUGUCUUUUCUGAACUCCUGUGAUUUUACUGGCAUAUGUUGUUUGGUCAUAUUUAUAUUCUGGGCUCUGUAUAGGAUACUCUGGUAAUAGAAAUUUAAUGGUUCCCACUGUGUUUAAUUCAGUCAUUGUAUUUAGCUACACUUGCUCCUCUGUGUCCAUCUUGUAUGUGUUGUGUGUUUUACUGGAAUACUAUUUAAUUAAUAAGAUCUCUCAAAAACAAUGAUUAAAAAUUCCACACUGUAUUUAAAACACACAUUUCACUGACUUUUAGGUGCACUGGAACAUAAGUUUUGCACUGGAACAUAAGUUUUGCACAUCAGCCUUUUUGUCCAUUGUCUGUGCAGUUGCCUGAACUUUUUUUCUGUAGUCUUUAUUUUCCUGUAGUUGUGCUGAUUGCUGUGUUACUGCCAUUGCUUCCUGCUUUCCACCAUUUGCAAAAUUCACCUCUGUUGCAGUUGCUUCCCAAUUUGCUUACAGAUUCUUAUCAAUAUAUCUUCUUGGCCUUUCUCCAGGAUUCUGUGUAGCUAUUUAUUUUACUGUUUGAUAUAUGCACAUCUGUAUCUAUCUUGACUACAGUGGUGUGAAAUCCAUCCCUAGAGCUAACAGACUUGCUUUUUAAUAGUUAUAACCUGUCUGGUUUUUAAUAAGAAAGUCUUUUAUGACCCCAUCUUCAGAGGAAGUGGUCCUUAAAUUUUCCUCUUCAUUUUGUCUCUUCCUUGUUGCAGUUUUUUAAUAAGUAAUGCACAGUGCUCUAGACUUGCUGUGGAUUUGUAAAUGCAUUUCCAUCUUUGCUGAGUUUUUGUAUUAAUGUUCACAAAAUACACAGUAUUUAGGGUGAGGGAAAAAAAGAGCAUAUAAGACUUUCUUCAAACAACAGGCAGAACCCUCAUGUUCACAAGCCCUGGACCUCAGAGUGGACUUAAGCCACCCUGAUACGUGCUGGAAAGGCCCAGCAGGGCCAGGGCACAGGCAAUGCAACAGGUUUCUGAUGACAGCACUGAUAAGAGCUUCUUGACACAGGUGAUUGAGAAGCUGAUGAGUGGGGAGACACUGCUGAACCUCAUGCUUACAGUGCUGGGGCAUGUGGAGUUUGGCAGAAACCUUGAUGACACUGACUGCAUAAAGGUAAAAGUCAGGAUUAUGAAAGGAGGGCAAAAAGCAGGAUCACAGCCCCAGACUUCAGUAGAACAGACUUUGAGUCUUCAGGGACCUGGGCCUUGUUCUGUCCAGUUUGAAAAUCUCCAAAGCCAGUGAUUCUCUGAGCAUGACUCUCUCUGUGAAUGUCUUUUCCCCUCUUCCAUUUUCCUGUCUUCUGCCUUUUCAUGGUACAAUUGCUGGAUUAUCCCAUCUCUUUCCAGCAGCUAAACUCCUUUGACUGAACUGUUGAAGUCAAUUGAUCUGCUAUGGUCAGCCAUGUACACACAGCUUUCUAUUUCACUGACCUGUUCAGUUUUCCUGUCUUGUGGGGUCUUAUCUUCUUCAGUGAACAUUUCAGUACUGCAGCUCAAAGUGGUCAUAAGGUUGCUGGGGAGAGGCAAGGAUGAGAGAAACAAGAGCACAGCUGGUGCUAUUUUCAGCCUGUUCAGUCUGGGAUCAGUGUACAGGGAGUGUCAACACACAUCUUGGAAGCGUGGCUACACACUUGGAGGUCUUUGUUUUCCUCACCUAAGAAUGAUGUUUGACAAGGCGAUGAGUGAAAAUGGAGACCAGCGAGGAUCUUUGACUUAGAAUUAAUCACUCCCAGAAGUAGCAUAAAAAAUGGUGACUUAGGUGGACAUAAAAAUCAGGCUGGGUUGUUCUUCAUAAAGUCAUAGGAGUGGAGAGCUCUCGCUGUAAUGCAAGAAGGAUGAUGAACAAGCAGAAGGAGCUUUAAAUCUUAAUGCAGGUUCUCAGUUACCCGCAUAUCUGUUGCAAAUAAAAUGUAUUUCAGAGGGAGCCUGUUCAGCAAGUGCUUUGAAUGUGUUUCUGAUGGACUUUGGUAAAGAUAAUUAAGGUAAGUAGAAUAGGGUGAACUUUGAUUAAAUACUGACCGAUAGGAAGAAACUGACAAUAUUUAGACAAAGAUCAUGUUACCUGAGAAUGAUCAUGAAAUUAUACAUUUAUGAUUCACAGGACUUGAAGGAACAUAAGUAGCAAAACAGUAACAAUGGAUUUCAAGUAGGAAGGCUUCAAUACCCACAAAAUUGGUAGGUGUUGCCUGGGAGGCAAGCGUGAUGGAACAGGGAAUUUAAGAAAGCUGGCAAUUUCUUAAAGAAGAAUAUUAAUAAGGCUCUCUCCUUGAGGAGGAGAGAUAAGACGUCAGUAAGAGAUCAACUUGGUUAAAUUAUGAGCCUUUCAUUGACUUCAAACACAGGAGGAAAGGGUACAGAGACAAGAAACUAGGUGAGGUUACUAAGGAGGAGAAUAAAGGCAUUGCAAGAGCUCUCAGUAACCUAAUCAAAAAGGUUAAGACAUAAAGUGAGAUGAAAUAGCAAGGCACAUUACUUAGGAGAAGUCCAAAUGUUGACACUUAAUAGACAGAAGAUUUGGAGAAGCCUAAAAUGAUGAAUGCUUUAUUCUGUGCUGAUCUUCACUUGCCAUCAGGUAGACAGCACUAUUAAUGCCUGUGCACAACAGAGUGAAAUGACAGCCAGAGCAGGAGAGCGAAACAGCAGAGGGAGUUCUCAAAUUGAUCAUGUAAAGUUUUUCUGUCAAAGGAAUUUUAGCAGCCCUUAGCUGAUAAAAAGCCCUUAUUAUCCUUUUUCCCAUGAGAGUACUUGGAGAUGAGUGAGGUACUCAGUGGGUGUAGAAUGUGGAUGGGUACUAGGGAAGUGUGGUCUAGAGGAAAUGACUGUAGACUGAUUAGUUCUCUCAGAACAAUAUAACACAUGAGCAUUUCACCUUGAAAUGAAGGAUAUUGUCAGUGAAGUCCUUCAAAGUUUCCUCAGGGUUUGGCUGCUGUUGUUAGUGACCUGUACAAUGCAGAGGAUCCUGAGAUGAGAAUCCCCAUCAGAACGAUACAGACCAUAAUUAAAAAUGAUCCUGACAGAAUGGAAGUAUGACCAGAAAAAUGAGAAUAUUAUUUAAUAGGGAAGGAUUACACUUAUGUAGGAAUAAUAAAGUAUGUGAGUAUAGGAUGAGACGAAAACUCUCUGGACAUUCUGAGAUGGGUGAAGAGGCUACAGAGAACUGCAAACUAGACAGAGAUGAAUGAUUGCAAGCUUUUCAAAGUAGUUAGUGUCACAGGGAAUGUGUGAACAGCAGCACAGGCUGCCAUGUGAGGUAAUUAUUCCUGUGCAGCAAAAGGAUGGCCUUAGAGAGAGAAUUGUGCCAUUUUUAGUGCUGUCCUUCAAGACAGAGAUGAUCUAUUCUCUAGCUGAGAACAGUUUGAAACAUGACCUAAAAAGAAAUAUUGAAAGAAUUGGGCUUGUUCAAGAUGAAAAAAGAAUGCUGAUAAGAACAUGCUAUCUUCCUUAUUUAAUUUUCAUAUUACUUUUUACUUAUUUUCCCUCCUAUUUUCUCUUGUUAAAGAAAAAAGGAGAGUAUCUUCUCUAAGUGCAUUUUGAAAAUGGAAAAAGGACAAGAUUUGACCUUCAGCAAGGAAGUUUCAAGUUGGGCUGUGGAAACUCUGUCAUUGGGGCUGACUUAGUUGACAAAUGUUCAUCAGGAAUGCCUUGGGCAGGGAGAUGGGUGGACCAGCUCUUCCAGGGACCCGUGUCUCUGAUCCUCCAACCAUUCCUCGACAACCACCUGCGAAGGAGAGAUCGUGUGCACGCGUAGGCACUGGGAGAGCGCUGCCUGAGCGGCCCACGAGGGACCCAGCAGGGACGACCGCGGCAUCGACCCACCGAAACCUGCAUUCAGUAACAUCUAGUCACCAAAGAGAGGGAUAAUAUCCCAUGGCACAGCUGAUUUCUCACUUUAUACAGACUGAGAGUGAAAUUCAUAUAGAAACCUUUGAUUGAAAACUUUAUUUCUGUAUGAUGUGUAAAUACUACAUUAUCACUUCACAAUUGACGAGUGAGCAGAAAAAUAAACAUCUUUGUAAUCAUUUGUUUGUAAUACAGGCAAAUCUGUUCACAUUAUGAAAGGAAUAAAUUUUACCAGCUUCUGGGUAUCUUUUUUUUUUUUUCAUUGUUUGUCACACUUCAGAAUGGAAUAAAUCUGAAAGAACAUCAUAGAAAGGCAAAAUAUAAGUGCUGAAUAGAAAAAUUGGCAAGGAGUUAGGACUUGUCUAUCACUUGUCAUACGUCAGUUGCAGAGGAGGCAUAAAUGACUCUUGUUAGACUCCGAGAUGGUUUGUAUUGACAGAGUUUGUUGUGUUUAAUUGCAUUAAAACUUUCCAUAAGACAAUAUAUUUCAGCCUUGUGUACUCUGAGUUUUAGAAAAUAGUUGUAGAUAGAAUUUCCUAGAAAUAAAUGAUGCUGUGGGUUGAUUGAUACAUAUGAACCCAAAGCCCUCUAAGACUGUUUGGCAGCUAAAAAAGCCUCUAAGGAAUCAAGGACAAGUGUAAGACUUUUCUUCUUAAUAAAUCUGUUCUCAUGAGCCAUGAAUAAUUCUGAUAUCUAGGACAAUUUUUUCAGGACAGAG
This is a long non-coding RNA of Corvus hawaiiensis (hawaiian crow), 13978 nucleotides long. RefSeq lists it as uncharacterized. The record is from RefSeq and is a predicted model, not a curated record. The transcript is spliced from 3 exons. NCBI's taxonomy places the organism in Eukaryota, Metazoa, Chordata, Aves, Passeriformes, Corvidae.